RNA transcript from Nycticebus coucang (slow loris), 1231 nucleotides. It is a transcript of the gene named adenylosuccinate lyase-like, with no coding region annotated. The record is from RefSeq and is a predicted model, not a curated record. The transcript has 3 exons. Lineage: Eukaryota; Metazoa; Chordata; Mammalia; Primates; Lorisidae.
AUGCAGACAGCCCAGUCAGGUGUCAUGACCUCCGUGUGUCAGUGUCUCCCAGCUGUGCUCCUGUCAACAAGUGGUGGUGAACGACAGGACCUGAUUAUUCUUAGAAAUGCAUUCGACCUGCUUCUGCCAAAGCUUGCCAGAGUGAUCUCUCGGCUUGCCAACUUUGCUAAGGAACGAGCUGAUCUACCCACAUUAGGUUUCACACAUUUUCAGCCUGCUCAGCUGACCACAGUUGGGAAACGUUGCUGUCUUUGGAUUCAGGAUCUUUGCAUUGAUCUCCAGAACUUAAAGCGUGUCCAGGAUGACCUGCGCUUCCGGGGAGUGAAGGGCACCACUGGUACUCAGGCCAGCUUCUUGCAGCUCUUUGAAGGUAGAACAGCUUGACAAGAUGGUGACAGAAAAGGCAGGAUUUAAGAGAGACAGAGUCUCACUUUAUGGCCCUCGGAGUUUCAUUAUCACAGGCCAAACCUAUACACGAAAAGUAGAUAUCGAAGUUCUGUCUGUGCUGGCUAGCUUGGGGGCAUCAGUGCAUAAGAUUUGCACUGACAUACGGCUUCUGGCAAACCUCAAGGAGAUGGAGGAACCCUUUGAAAAACAGCAGAUUGGCUCAAGCGCGAUGCCAUAUAAGCGGAACCCCAUGCGCUCAGAACGGUGCUGCAGCCUUGCCCGUCACCUGAUGACCCUUGUCAUGGACCCACUGCAGACAGCAUCUGUGCAGUGGUUUGAACGCACACUGGAUGAUAGUGCCAACCGACGUAUCUGUUUGGCUGAGGCAUUUCUUACUGCAGAUACUAUAUUGAAUACUCUACAGAACAUUUCUGAAGGAUUUGUGGUGUACCCCAAAGUAAUUGAACGGCGCAUUCGGCAAGAGCUGCCUUUCAUGGCUACAGAGAAUAUCAUCAUGGCCAUGGUCAAAGCUGGGGGUAGCCGUCAGGAUUGCCAUGAGAAAAUCAGAGUGCUCUCUCAGCAGGCAGCUGCUGUGGUUAAGCAGGAGGGGGGUGACAAUGACCUCAUUGAGCGUAUCCAGGCCGAUGCCUACUUCAGUCCCAUUCAUGCCCAGUUGGACCGUUUACUGGACCCUUCUUCUUUUACUGGCUGUGCAGCCCAGCAGGUACAGAGAUUCUUGGAAGAGGAAGUCUAUCCCCUGUUAAAACCAUAUGAAAAUGUGAUGGAGGUGAAAGCAGAAUUAUGUCUAUAGUGCCAGAAGAGAAUUAACCAAAAACUCAUUGUU